AGUGAACGCUGGCGGUAGGCCUAACACAUGCAAGUCGAACGGCAGCACAGUAAGAGCUUGCUCUUACGGGUGGCGAGUCGCGUACGGGUGAGGAAUACAUCGGAAUCUACUUUUUCGUGAGGGAUAACGUAGGGAAACUUACGCUAAUACCGCAUACGACCUCCGGGUGAAAGCAGGGGAUCUUCGGACCUUGCGCGAUUGAAUGAGCCGAUGUCGGAUUAGCUAGUUGGCGGGGUAAAGGCCCACCAAGGCGACGAUCCGUAGCUGGUCUGAGAGGAAGAUCAGCCACACUGGAAGUGAGAAAGGGUCCAGACUCCUACGGGAGGACGCAGUGGGGAAUAUUGGACAAUGGGGGCAAGCCUGAUCCAGCCAUACCGCGUGGGUGAAGAAGGCGUUAGGGUUGUAGAGCCAUUUUGUUGGGAGAGAAAAGCAGCAGGUUAAUACCCCGCUGUUCUGACGGUACCCAAAGAAUAAGCACCGGCUAACUUCGUG
RNAcentral lists this ribosomal RNA (492 nucleotides) under uncultured bacterium. Its description in RNAcentral is "partial 16S ribosomal RNA". It matches the Rfam family "Bacterial small subunit ribosomal RNA", at positions 29 to 507 of the family's 1533-position model. The record is from RNAcentral.